GAUGAACGCUGGCGGCGUGCUUAACACAUGCAAGUCGAACGAGAACGGGUUAUAGCUUGCUAUAAUUGUCAGCUAAGUGGCGCACGGGUGAGUAAUGUAUAGGUAAUAUGCCUCUUACUAAGGGAUAACAAAUGGAAACGUUCGCUAAUACCUUAUACUCCUUAUUAACAGAAGUUAAUAAGGGAAAGAUUUAUUGGUAAGAGAUUAGCCUGUAUUGUAUCAGUUAGUUGGUGGGGUAAUGGCUUACCAAGACUAUGACACAUAACUGGGUUGAGAGGAUGAUCAGUCACACUGGAACUGAGACACGGUCCAGACUCCUACGGGAGGCAGCAGUGGGGAAUAUUGCACAAUGGACGAAAGUCUGAUGCAGCAACGCCGCGUGGAGGAUGACACAUUUCGGUGCGUAAACUCCUUUUAUAUGAGAAGAUAAUGACGGUAUUAUAUGAAUAAGCACCGGCUAACUCCGUGCCAGCAGCCGCCGCAG
Molecule: ribosomal RNA, 484 nt
Filed under: uncultured bacterium
Lineage: Bacteria
Description: partial 16S ribosomal RNA
Rfam family: Bacterial small subunit ribosomal RNA
Source: RNAcentral